RNAcentral lists this ribosomal RNA (495 nucleotides) under uncultured bacterium. Its description in RNAcentral is "partial 16S ribosomal RNA". It matches the Rfam family "Bacterial small subunit ribosomal RNA", at positions 28 to 507 of the family's 1533-position model. The record is from RNAcentral.
GACGAACGCUGGCGGCGUGCCUAAUACAUGCAAGUAGAACGCUGAAGGAGGAGCUUGCUUCUCUGGAUGAGUUGCGAACGGGUGAGUAACGCGUAGGUAACCUGCCUGGUAGCGGGGGAUAACUAUUGGAAACGAUAGCUAAUACCGCAUAACAGUAGAUAUCGCAUGAUAUCUACUUGAAAGUUGCAAUUGCAUCACUACCAGAUGGACCUGCGUUGUAUUAGCUAGUUGGUGAGGUAACGGCUCACCAAGGCGACGAUACAUAGCCGACCUGAGAGGGUGAUCGGCCACACUGGGACUGAGACACGGCCCAGACUCCUACGGGAGGCAGCAGGAGGGAAUCUUCGGCAAUGGACGGAAGUCUGACCGAGCAACGCCGCGUGAGUGAAGAAGGUUGUCGGAUCGUAAAGCUCUGUUGUAAGAGAAGAACGAGUGUGAGAGUGGAAAGUUCACACUGUGACGGUAUCUUACCAGAAAGGGACGGCUAACUACGUG